UACAGAGGUCUCAAGCGUUGUUCGGAUUCAUUGGGCGUAAAGGGUGCGUAGGCGGUGGUGCAAGUCAGGUGUGAAAUCCCGGAGCUCAACUCCGGAACUGCACUUGAUACUGCUUCACUAGAGUACUGGAGAGGAGACUGGAAUUUACGGUGUAGCAGUGAAAUGCGUAGAUAUCGUAAGGAAGACCAGUGGCGGAGGCGAGUCUCUGGACAGUUACUGACGCUGAGGCACGAAGGCCAGGGGAGCAAACGGG
RNAcentral lists this ribosomal RNA (253 nucleotides) under uncultured bacterium. RNAcentral's name for it is "partial 16S ribosomal RNA". It matches the Rfam family "Bacterial small subunit ribosomal RNA", at positions 524 to 776 of the family's 1533-position model. The record is from RNAcentral.